This 438-nucleotide ribosomal RNA is filed under the name uncultured bacterium. RNAcentral describes it as "partial 16S ribosomal RNA". It matches the Rfam family "Bacterial small subunit ribosomal RNA", at positions 339 to 795 of the family's 1533-position model. The record is from RNAcentral.
CUACGGGGGGCUGCAGUGAGGAAUAUUGCACAAUGGGGGGAGCCCUGAUGCAGCAACGCCGCGUGGAGGAUGACGCAUUUCGGUGUGUAAACUCCUUUUAUAUGUCAAGAAAAUGACGGUAGCAUAUGAAUAAGCACCGGCUAACUCCGUGCCAGCAGCCGCGGUAAUACGGAGGGUGCAAGCGUUACUCGGAAUCACUGGGCGUAAAGGACGCGUAGGCGGGUUGGAAAGUCAGGUGUGAAAUCCUACAGCUUAACUGUAGAACUGCACUUGAAACUUCUAAUCUAGAGUAUGGGAGGGGGAGAUGGAAUUAGUGGUGUAGGGGUAAAAUCCGUAGAUAUCACUAGGAAUACCUAAAGCGAAGGCGAUCUCCUGGAACAUUACUGACGCUAAGGCGUGAAAGCGUGGGGAGCAAACAGGAUUAGAUACCGUGUAGUC